UGCACAACAAAGACAUUUUGUUAUUUAUAUAAUACCAAAGCACCAAACUUCUUUAUUAACCAUGAAAGGAACGUAAAUAAACCCUCAUAGAAGGAAUACACAGGUUCAUAAUCAUCUCAAUAUAUAAAAUAGUUUCUGAAGCAGACAGAUCUUGUGACUAAUGUCACACACACAGGAUUCAUUCAGCAAAACAAACGACAUAUUGCUACCAAGAAGUAAUACGUAAUCAGGAGAGAAAGGGGAGGUCUCCAAUCAGAUCUUCAACCGCGUCAGCCGCAUCAGAUCCAGAGAUAAGCUUCCCAAGAACCACUCCUUUUAUGAAAGACGACGAACUAACCUUUUUUGGUGCCGGGAUAGGAUAGUAGCAUGGAUAACCUGGACCUGCUGGUGGUGGUGGUGGAUAUGGAGAUCCACUCCAGUAGCCUGGACCUGCUGCUGGUGGUGGUGGAUAUGGAGAUCCAUUCCAGUAGCCUGGACCUGCUGGUGGUGGUGGUGGAUAUGGAGAUCCAUUCCAGUAGCCUGGACCUGGUGGUGGUUGCGCAUAGGCAUAGGGUCCCAUGCCUGGUGGCGGCGGCGGCGGUGGUGGUGAAGCCAUCUUGUGAGAUAAAUAUAGAGGGGAUGGACUGGUGGUGUUGUAUAUAUGAAGUGAAUAACAGGAAGAUGCUGCGAAGCAGCCUAUUUGAUAUCAACGUUAAACAGUAAUAAUUUCAAACCCUAUCACAGUCGACGUCCCUAUCACUAUAUGGUAUAAUAUACAAAAUUGAUAAAUAAAC
RNAcentral lists this long non-coding RNA (773 nucleotides) under Olea europaea (common olive). RNAcentral describes it as "long non-coding RNA (OEUR_LNC005730)". The record is from RNAcentral. Lineage: Eukaryota; Viridiplantae; Streptophyta; Magnoliopsida; Lamiales; Oleaceae.